UACGGGGGGAGCAAGCGUUGUCCGGAAUUACUGGGCGUAAAGGGCGUGUAGGCGGUCUGUUAAGUCAGAUGUUAAAGCCCCCGGCUUAACCGGGGAAUGUCAUUUGAAACUGACAGGCUUGAGUGCGAGAGAGGGUAGCGGAAUUCCCAGUGUAGCGGUGAAAUGCGUAGAUAUUGGGAAGAACACCAGUAGCGAAGGCGGCUACCUGGCUCGCAACUGACGCUAAGGCGCGAAAGCGUGGGGAGCAAACAGG
This 253-nucleotide ribosomal RNA is filed under the name uncultured bacterium. RNAcentral describes it as "partial 16S ribosomal RNA". It matches the Rfam family "Bacterial small subunit ribosomal RNA", at positions 524 to 776 of the family's 1533-position model. The record is from RNAcentral.